This 107-nucleotide ribosomal RNA is filed under the name Candidatus Cloacimonadota bacterium. The record is from RNAcentral. Lineage: Bacteria; Pseudomonadati; Candidatus Cloacimonadota.
AUAGCAGCGAGGCAACACCUGUUCCCAUUCCGAACACAGUAGUUAAGCUCGUCUGCGCCGAUGGUACUGCAUGGGCAACUGUGUGGGAGAGUAGGUCGUCGCCAUCG